AACACGUGGACAACCUACCCUCCGGACGGGUAUAAACCCGGGAAACUGGGUAUAAUCCCCGAUAGAUCUCGGUCGCUGGAAAGCCCCGAGAUCGAAAGCUCCGGCGCCAGAGGAUGGGUCUGCGGCCUAUCAGGUAGUAGUGGGUGUAGCGUACCUACUAGCCUACGACGGGUACGGGUUGUGAGAGCAAGAGCCCGGAGAUGGAUUCUGAGACACGAAUCCAGGCCCUACGGGGUGCAGCAGGCGCGAAAACUUUACAAUGCCGGCAACGGCGAUAAGGGGACCUCGAGUGCCAGGUUACAAAUCUGGCUGUCGUGAUGCCUAAAAAGCAUUGCAUAGCAAGGGCCGGGCAAGACCGGUGCCAGCCGCCGCGGUAACACCGGCGGCUCGAGUGGUAACCGUUAUUAUUGGGUCUAAAGGGUCUGUAGCCGGCCGGAUAAGUCUCUUGAGAAAUCCAGCAGCUCAACUGUUGGGCUUUCAGGAGAUACUGUCUGGCUCGAGGCCGGGAGAGGUGAGAGGUACUUCAGGGGUAGGGGUGAAAUCUUGUAAUCCUUGAAGGACCACCAGUGGCGAAGGCGUCUCACCAGAACGGACCUGACGGCAAGGGACGAAAGCUAGGGGCACGAACCGGAUUAGAUACCCGGGUAGUCCUAGCCGUAAACGAUACUCGCUAGGUGUCGGCCACGGUGCGACCGUUGUCGGUGCUGUAGGGAAGCCGUGAAGCGAGCCACCUGGGAAGUACGGCCGCAAGGCUGAAACUUAAAGGAAUUGGCGGGGGAGCACCACAACGGGUGGAGCUUGCGGUUUAAUUGGAUUCAACGCCGGA
Molecule: ribosomal RNA, 826 nt
Filed under: uncultured Methanosarcinales archaeon
Lineage: Archaea; Methanobacteriati; Methanobacteriota; Methanomicrobia; Methanosarcinales
Description: bacterial SSU rRNA
Rfam family: Archaeal small subunit ribosomal RNA
Source: RNAcentral